GUGGAUGCUGACUUCACCCACACCUCUUUCGCGACAUCAUCGGGACAGAAAUCUGGAUCAUUGUCCAUCUUCAGGCCUCCAUACCUUACUGGAAGUUGCUCCGCAGCAAUAUAUCUGCAGAAUUUCAGGAAUACCAAUUGUAAGUAUUAUUUUUGUAUUCUUAUUAAAUAAUUAAGUGCAUUGAAUGGCUAACUAGUGAAAAAUCUUAAACUUAGAAUUCUCUUACUUCAGUAGAAUUUCUGUAACGUUGGAUGGCCUGGCUGUAAUGAACUUGUUCUUAGUCCUUGGGGUUAGGAAAGGGGACAGAACUGUAUUGAACGCGUAGUACCACAAUGGUACAUUGAUAAAUAUCUGCACAGAAACACGAUUCAGGACGGAUUUGAUAACAGGAGAUCGAAAGAAUAAGAACGAAUAAAAAAUGUGUAUAUAUUAGGCUUACGUUGGUAUAGACAAAUUCAGGGUAGUUGUCCUGAAGAACCUCAACAACUCUCCUGGUGGCAAGCCGGACUUCUUUCUUAGUAGGCAAAGGAGUGUUCUUGAGAUCAUUGAUCUGAAGAAUCUCGCAAGUCCCACCAGGAUUGAAAUCCAGCUGUUCAAUCACACAUUUCUCCAUCUUCCUUAUCCUCCACCUCAUAAACCUCUCCCUCUUUUCUUCAUCUCCAAGCAUCUUAUCAGCAGCCUUGUCGAAUCCUUGUCGAAUCCCAGCAUUCCGUACACAUUGUAACAGAUCGGGUGUCCCUCCCGGUCAUGGCCGUCCUCGUACACAACCGGAUCGAGAUGAUCGGUCUGGUCGUCCUUCUCGCCCAGAAUCGAGUCGAUUUUGUUCUCCUUCCUCCAUUUCAAGGUGUUUUUCAGCAUUUCGAAUGCUUCGAUCACACGAAACUCUCUUGCCCUCAGGAAUUUCAGGAGCACCACGUCCGUGCUCGCGUUUCCUUUGCUUGGCAUCAACGAGGCCCCCCAUAGAGAAAGAUUCUGAUUCUGAUGAUUAACAACAGCAGAAUCAUCAAUCAGAAUCUCUUUCCCUUUCCGUUCUUUCUCUGCGGUCAAGGUUUCAUCUUUGACUUUAUUCUCAUCUUCUGCUUCUGUUUGUUUAGUUUCUCCUUUGCUGCCUUCAGUCAUCUCGGAUUUUUCCUUCUGUUGAUCUGAAGGUUUGACCUUUUCAUCAUCUUCAGGUUUGUCCUCGAAGAAUUUGUUGGUCAGGACAGCUUCUUCGAUCUUGGAUUUGAGUUCCAGCAACGCCUUGCGCUCGUACUCUUUCAAAUCGGAGAGGAGAACGGUUUGUUCUCGAGACGAAGAGCUUUCCUCAUGAACACCCUUGUUCUUCUCGAUUUCGUCAACAGCAAAGGUGACUUCUUUUUGCUGAACAACCACUUCCUCAGCUUUCUUCCCACCAUCAGGACUCUUGCCUUCUUCUUGUGAUGCUUCAGCUUUUAUUACCAUUUCCUUUGGCUCCUCCUUAACCUGGGAGGCAGAAAGAUCCUCCUUUUCCACAGGGAUAACUUUCUCAUUCUCAGUAACGUUCAAAGGAGCUUCAUUUCCUUUUGCAGGUGAUUCUUGUCGUUUUUCCUGAGAGUCAGGUUGUUGUUGUUGCUGUUGGUGUUCUUGUUGUUUCUGUUCUUGGAUAGGUUGAGGUGUUGGCUGAUCUAUCACCUUCUCGACAAUAUCAACUAUUGCAGGCUGUUCAGGAGGAACAUGGUGUUCUUCUGUUGAGGAUGGUGGGUUUGGUUGUUGUUGUUGUUCCAAGGGAGGAGUAGCAGCAGCAGCAGCCGCAUCUAUCAUAGUUGUAGUCGUGGAUUUCGGUGAUGGUUGUUUGAGUUGUUGCUGA
This 1825-nucleotide long non-coding RNA is filed under the name Linum usitatissimum (flax). Its description in RNAcentral is "long non-coding RNA (LUSI_LNC008283)". The record is from RNAcentral. Lineage: Eukaryota; Viridiplantae; Streptophyta; Magnoliopsida; Malpighiales; Linaceae.